RNAcentral lists this ribosomal RNA (468 nucleotides) under uncultured bacterium. RNAcentral's name for it is "partial 16S ribosomal RNA". It matches the Rfam family "Bacterial small subunit ribosomal RNA", at positions 28 to 507 of the family's 1533-position model. The record is from RNAcentral.
GACGAACGCUGGCGGCGUGCUUAACACAUGCAAGUCGAACGGAAAGUCCCUGCUUUUGUGGGGUGCUCGAGUGGCGAACGGGUGAGUAACACGUGAGUAACCUGCCCUUGACUUUGGGAUAACUUCAGGAAACUGGGGCUCAUACCGGAUAGGAGCUCCUGCUGCAUGGUGGGGGUUGGAAAGUUUCGGCGGUUGGGGAUGGACUCGCGGCUUAUCAGCUUGUUGGUGGGGUAGUGGCUUACCAAGGCUUUGACGGGUAGCCGGCCUGAGAGGGUGACCGGCCACAUUGGGACUGAGAUACGGCCCAGACUCCUACGGGAGGCAGCAGUGGGGAAUAUUGCACAAUGGGCGGAAGCCUGAUGCAGCAACGCCGCGUGCGGGAUGACGGCCUUCGGGUUGUAAACCGCUUUCGCCUGUGACGAAGCGUGAGUGACGGUAAUGGGUAAAGAAGCACCGGCUAACUACGUG